GACGAACGCUGGCGGCGUGCUUAACACAUGCAAGUCGAACGGAAAGGCCUUGCUUGCAGGGUACUCGAGUGGCGAACGGGUGGGUAACACGUGGGUGAUCUGCCCUGCACUUCGGGAUAAGCCUGGGAAACUGGGUCUAAUACCGGAUAGGAGCCAUUUUUAGUGGGAUGGUUGGAAAGUUUUUUCGGUGUAGGAUGAGCUCGCGGCCUAUCAGCUUGUUGGUGGGGUAAUGGCCUACCAAGGCGGCGACGGGUAGCCGGCCUGAGAGGGUGGACGGCCACAUUGGGACUGAGAUACGGCCCAGACUCCUACGGGAGGCAGCAGUGGAGAAUAUUGCACAAUGGGCGCAAGCCUGAUACAGCGACGCCGGGUGGGGGAUGACGGCCUUCGGGUUGUAAACUCCUUUCGCUAGGGACGAAGCUUUUGUGACGGUACCUAGAUAGGAAGCACCGGCUAACUACGUG
RNAcentral lists this ribosomal RNA (464 nucleotides) under uncultured bacterium. RNAcentral describes it as "partial 16S ribosomal RNA". It matches the Rfam family "Bacterial small subunit ribosomal RNA", at positions 28 to 507 of the family's 1533-position model. The record is from RNAcentral.